This 490-nucleotide ribosomal RNA is filed under the name uncultured bacterium. Its description in RNAcentral is "partial 16S ribosomal RNA". It matches the Rfam family "Bacterial small subunit ribosomal RNA", at positions 30 to 507 of the family's 1533-position model. The record is from RNAcentral.
AUUGAACGCUGGCGGCAUGCUUUACACAUGCAAGUCGGACGGCAGCACAGAGGAGCUUGCUUCUUGGGUGGCGAGUGGCGAACGGGUGAGUAACGCAUCGGAACGUAUCGAGUAAUGGGGGAUAACUGUCCGAAAGGACAGCUAAUACCGCAUACGCCCUGAGGGGGAAAGCGGGGGAUCUUAGGACCUCGCGUUAUUCGAGCGGCCGAUGUCUGAUUAGCUGGUUGGCGGGGUAAAGGCCCACCAAGGCGACGAUCAGUAGCGGGUCUGAGAGGAUGAUCCGCCACACUGGGACUGAGACACGGCCCAGACUCCUACGGGAGGCAGCAGUGGGGAAUUUUGGACAAUGGGCGCAAGCCUGAUCCAGCCAUGCCGCGUGUCUGAAGAAGGCCUUCGGGUUGUAAAGGACUUUUGUCAGGGAAGAAAAGGGGCAUGUUAAUACCGUGCUCUGAUGACGGUACCUGAAGAAUAAGCACCGGCUAACUACGUG